GAUGAGCAUGCGUCCCAUUAGCUAGUUAGUAAGGUAACGGCUUACCAAGGCUACGAUGGGUAGGGGUCCUGAGAGGGAGAUCCCCCACACUGGUACUGAGACACGGACCAGACUCCUACGGGAGGCAGCAGUGAGGAAUAUUGGACAAUGGGCGCAAGCCUGAUCCAGCCAUGCCGCGUGCAGGAUGACGGUCCUAUGGAUUGUAAACUGCUUUUAUACGAGAAGAAACACUCCUUCGUGAAGGAAUUUGACGGUAUCGUAAGAAUAAGGAUCGGCUAACUCCGUGCCAGCAGCCGCGGUAAUACGGAGGAUCCAAGCGUUAUCCGGAAUCAUUGGGUUUAAAGGGUCCGUAGGCGGUUUAGUAAGUCAGUGGUGAAAGCCCAUCGCUCAACGGUGGAACGGCCAUUGAUACUGCUGAACUUGAAUUAUUAGGAAGUAACUAGAAUAUGUAGUGUAGUGGUGAAAUGCUUAGAGAUUACAUGGAAUACCAAUUGCGAAGGCAGGUUACUACUAAUGGAUUGACGCUGAUGGA
RNAcentral lists this ribosomal RNA (532 nucleotides) under uncultured bacterium. RNAcentral's name for it is "bacterial SSU rRNA". It matches the Rfam family "Bacterial small subunit ribosomal RNA", at positions 224 to 753 of the family's 1533-position model. The record is from RNAcentral.